Molecule: ribosomal RNA, 526 nt
Filed under: Clastoptera laenata
Lineage: Eukaryota; Metazoa; Arthropoda; Insecta; Hemiptera; Clastopteridae
Description: SSU rRNA
Rfam family: Eukaryotic small subunit ribosomal RNA
Source: RNAcentral
GCCGGCACGUUUACUUUGAACAAAUUAGAGUGCUUAAAGCAGGCUGGUGUCCGCCUGAAUACUGUGUGCAUGGAAUAAUGGAAUAGGACCUCGGUUCUAUUUUGUUGGUUUUCGGAACCCGAGGUAAUGAUUAAUAGGGACAGGCGGGGGCAUUCGUAUUGCGGCGUUAGAGGUGAAAUUCUUGGAUCGUCGCAAGACGAACCUAAGCGAAAGCAUUUGCCAAGUAUGUCCUCGUUAAUCAAGAACGAAAGUUAGAGGUUCGAAGGCGAUCAGAUACCGCCCUAGUUCUAACCAUAAACGAUGCCAGCCAGCGAUCCGCCGAAGUUCCUCCGAUGACUCGGCGGGCAGCUUCCGGGAAACCAAAGCUUUUGGGUUCCGGGGGAAGUAUGGUUGCAAAGCUGAAACUUAAAGGAAUUGACGGAAGGGCACCACCAGGAGUGGAGCCUGCGGCUUAAUUUGACUCAACACGGGAAACCUCACCAGGCCCGGACACCGGAAGGAUUGACAGAUUGAGAGCUCUUUCUUG